Molecule: ribosomal RNA, 497 nt
Filed under: uncultured bacterium
Lineage: Bacteria
Description: partial 16S ribosomal RNA
Rfam family: Bacterial small subunit ribosomal RNA
Source: RNAcentral
GACGAACGCUGGCGGCGUGCCUAAUACAUGCAAGUCGAGCGAUGAAGCUUGGUGCUUGCACCAAUUUGAAGAGCAGCGAACGGGUGAGUAACGCGUGGGGAAUCUGCCUUUGAGCGGGGGACAACAUUUGGAAACGAAUGCUAAUACCGCAUAACAACUUUAAACAUAAGUUUUAAGUUUGAAAGAUGCAAUUGCAUCACUCAAAGAUGAUCCCGCGUUGUAUUAGCUAGUUGGUGAGGUAAAGGCUCACCAAGGCGAUGAUACAUAGCCGACCUGAGAGGGUGAGCGGCCAAAUUGGGACUGAGACACGGCCCAAAAUCCUACGGGAGGCAGCAGUAGGGAAACUUCGGCAAUGGACGAAAGGCUGAACGAGCAACGCCGCGGGAGUGAAGAAGGGUUUCGGAUCGUAAAAAUCUGUUGGUAGAGAAGAACGUUGGUGAGAGUGGAAAGCUCAUCAAGUGACGGUAACUACCCAGAAAGGGACGGCUAACUACGUG